Aegilops tauschii subsp. strangulata is the source of this 704-nucleotide long non-coding RNA. RefSeq lists it as uncharacterized. NCBI's taxonomy places the organism in Eukaryota, Viridiplantae, Streptophyta, Magnoliopsida, Poales, Poaceae. The record is from RefSeq and is a predicted model, not a curated record.
CCGCCUGCCGACGCGCUGGUUCCUCCUGCCGACUCGAGGCGGCGGCUGCUCUGCUCCUGCGGAACGCUCGCCUCGCCGCGGCAGUCGGGUCGCCGGCGCGGUCUCCACCUCAGGUUCUAUGGAUGGCAACUUCACUUAUUAAGGCUCAAUAUGUGCCGCUAUACUGAUUGGGCAAGCAGGGAAAACUAGAGGAAGCUGAGAAGCUCUUCACGGCAGCACUGCAUGAAGCUAAAGAAGGAUUUGGACUGAGAAAUCCACAUUCUGCAUCGCCUCUGAACAACUUGGUAAGUGUUAUGAAAUAAGGAUUUUAAAUAACAUAUAUGCUUCUUUCUAAUGAAUGGAGCUGCUGUGCUCAUUUAAGUCCACAAGCUAGCUUAUUAGAUUGCCGCCGUGAGAGCACCACAUGGGUGUCCAUUUGCUAAUCCACGACUUGGGUAUUCCAACCAAGGAUACUCGUUCGCAAUACCGCGUUGUAUUCAUGCAUAACUAUUAUGUUUUAUGUCAUCAUCUCAUGGUCAUGAAAAUAGGUUGAAAGUGCUAGUUAUCGACUAGAGGGGGUAGAAUAGGCGAUUUUUAAGAAAGUCUUCAAAACAUGGAAGUUUCAAAGACAAACAAUGAAAAUGAACCUAAUAACAUGCAGCGGAAGGUAGACUACACUAGGCAAGCCAUAGUCAAGUAUUCAAUGAAGUGAAAGCGCGAAGACU